AUAGGCGGGUAAAAUUUCAUUCCCUCCCUUUAUUUUUUCAUUUGCCUCUUUUUCUAUUAUUUCCCUCUACUCACUCUCUUUUCUCUCACUUCACCCAAAACCAACCCCCAAAAUCUAAAUCGAUUUCUGCCCAAAAUUCAACUCUCUUCUUCAAAGUCGAUUUCUGUCAAAAGCCGCUUCAAAUAGUUGUGUAAUGUGAUACUUCAAUCGGAGAAGUUACUACUCAAAAGAUGCAAUCAGAUCGAGUUUGGAACUU
This is a long non-coding RNA of Solanum tuberosum (potato), 256 nucleotides long. RefSeq lists it as uncharacterized. Lineage: Eukaryota; Viridiplantae; Streptophyta; Magnoliopsida; Solanales; Solanaceae. The record is from RefSeq and is a predicted model, not a curated record. The transcript is spliced from 2 exons.